This is a non-coding RNA of Danio rerio (zebrafish), 324 nucleotides long. Lineage: Eukaryota; Metazoa; Chordata; Actinopteri; Cypriniformes; Danionidae. The record is from RefSeq and is a predicted model, not a curated record.
GAAAAUGUGUCCUCAUAACAGUGCUGCAGGGGCGUACAGUAUAUAAACCAAACAUGCUUCCUGCAACACCACUGUAGAUGAGCCUGUUGGAUGAAGCUGUCAACUCAGAAGGACUUCUACGUGUGCUGUUAUCUCUGACUUCAACAUCAUGAAGUUAAUUCUGGUUUUACAGCAUCUGCUGCUGUUCAUACCAGUCCUGCCACUGACCAGGGCACAAACGACUACUGAAACAACAUUGACAGAAACUACCACAGCAGAAUCAGCAGCAACCAGCACAGAUCCAUCAUCAGAAACCACCGCAUUCACAAGCACCACAGUUCCACC